AGUCGACGGCAGCACGGGGGCAACCCUGGUGGCGAGUGGCGAACGGGUGAGUAAUACAUCGGAACGUGCCCUGUCGUGGGGGAUAACUAGUCGAAAGAUUAGCUAAUACCGCAUACGACCUGAGGGUGAAAGCGGGGGACCGUAAGGCCUCUCGCGACAGGAGCGGCCGAUGUCUGAUUAGCUAGUUGGUGGGGUAAAAGCCUACCAAGGCGACGAUCAGUAGCUGGUCUGAGAGGACGAUCAGCCACACUGGGACUGAGACACGGCCCAGACUCCUACGGGAGGCAGCAGUGGGGAAUUUUGGACAAUGGGGGCAACCCUGAUCCACCAAUGCCGCGUGUGUGAAGAAGGCCUUCGGGUUGUAAAGCACUUUUGUCCGGAAAGAAAUGGCUCUGGUUAAUACCCGGGGUCGAUGACGGUACCGGAAGAAUAAGCACCGGCUAACUACGUGCCAGCAGCCGCGGUAAUACGUAGGGUGCGAGCGUUAAUCGCAAUUACUGGGCGUAAAGCGUGCGCAGGCGGUUUUGUAAGACAGGCGUGAAAUCCCCGAGCUCAACUUGGGAAUGGCGCUUGU
Molecule: ribosomal RNA, 574 nt
Filed under: Cupriavidus sp. UFLA01-658
Lineage: Bacteria; Pseudomonadati; Pseudomonadota; Betaproteobacteria; Burkholderiales; Burkholderiaceae
Description: bacterial SSU rRNA
Rfam family: Bacterial small subunit ribosomal RNA
Source: RNAcentral